AUGGAAAGCUUGCUGCAUUGGGACUUUGCUCCGGGCCUGGCCCUUGCGGAUCAGGUGAGAAGAAAAUUUGGGUCUACAGUCAAUUUCUCCCCCUCUAGAGACACCAAAGAGUUCUUUUUGGUUGUUUCUUUCUCCUCGGCUUCUUUCCGUCUCUUGGUGGAAGCAGUGGGUAUUGCAUUGCAAUGUUGUCUUUGUGGUAUUGCCUCUGGCUUCAAGGUGUCCCCGGUUACCUCACGAUCUUUUUGCUUCUCGGUUGCUAAUAACAAAGUGGGGCAUUUUAUCUAUGGGCUCAAAGAUCGUGUUUGGCCAGAUUUUGUGUGUCAUUUUGAUCUAUUCAAUGGUCGUUUUGCCAAAGCUCAUACUAUUGAUCACCAUUGGCAUGCUGAUACGGAGUUGGUUGAUAUUACCGAUCGAAGAAUUGCUCUCAAAUCAUCUCUUAAGUUUCUGACCCCGAAGGGCAAGUUGGAUAAUUCUUCUGCGAAGGUUCUUAGCAAAUUUGGGCUUAUUAAGCUGGAUAAUUGGAGUUUUUCGAACAAGAAUGCUCAUGAAGCUUCAUCAUCUUUGUAUCCUAAGCAACAUUUCCAUAUUCAAUUGGGCUCUUUUCCUUCGGUCCAAAAUCCCGAUGUGGUUUUGGGUCUGGACAAUUAUCACAAUGUGUUAUUGGACCAUUACUUGGCUGAGGAGCAAUUUGAGGAAAAUCGGGUCAUUGAAUACCUUGCUUUAGAGAGUUUAAUUGCCCUCUGA
RNAcentral lists this ribosomal RNA (744 nucleotides) under Triticum aestivum (bread wheat). RNAcentral's name for it is "partial small subunit ribosomal RNA". Lineage: Eukaryota; Viridiplantae; Streptophyta; Magnoliopsida; Poales; Poaceae. The record is from RNAcentral.